UAUGCAAUGAGUUUAAGCUCAAAACAUCCUGCAAAUAUACAUACACAUAAUGAAAGAAAGAAAGAAAAAACGGAAAAAAAGAUCACAUAUUUAUAUGUUUUUUUUUUUUUUUUUUUUUUUUUCUUUCUCCUAAUUUGUGUAAUUUUUAUAAAAACAGGAAGGAAGGUCUGAGAUGCUGCAUUUAAAGAAUAGAAAAAAAAGUUAUAACAUUCAUUGUUACUUUUUAUUUCAUAUAUAUAUAUAUAUAUAUAUAUAUAUAUAUAUUCUUUAAUAAAAUUUUUGAGAGAAAAAGUAUUGAACAAAUAUUAAUUAGUUACCAGAAAUAUCAAUCAUAUAUUUAAAAUUUCGUAAGAAAUUUUGUGUAUGAUUUUGAAAAAGCUAAUAAGCAAGUAUACAUUGGUGAGUUCGAUUUUUGAGGUUUUUCUUUAUUCCUACAUCUCAUAUAUCAAUAUUUUUUUUAUAAUGUAUACGAGAUGUUAAUAAGAAAAAUAACUUAAUUCAGACUACUCCUAAAUUCAUUGCUACAA
This 527-nucleotide RNase P RNA is filed under the name Plasmodium gaboni. Its description in RNAcentral is "ribonuclease P". It matches the Rfam family "Plasmodium RNase_P". Lineage: Eukaryota; Apicomplexa; Aconoidasida; Haemosporida; Plasmodiidae. The record is from RNAcentral.